AUGGAGGGAAAGUCUUGGAGAGCAAUGGAGUCAAAGAAAUUGAAGAUAAGAAAGCUGAUGAUGUGGAAGAGGUAAAAGAGGAUGAGAAUGCUGAUAUAGUAGAGGAAAUAAAAGAGGAUAAGAAAGAUGAUGUGGUGGGGGAAGUAAAAGAGGAUAAGAAAGAUAAUGGGGCUGAUGAAGUAAAAGAGGAGACGAAAGUUUAUGGGGUGGGGGAAGUAAAAGAGGAUAAGAAAGAUGAUGAGGCUGAUGAAGUAAAAGAGGAGACGAAAGAUGAUGGUGUGGAAGAAGUAAAAGAUGAUAAGAAAGAGGAUGUGGCUGAAGAAGUAAAAGAGGAUAAGAAAGAUGAAGGGGUGGAAGAAGUAAAAGAUGAGAAGAAAGAUGAUACGGUGGAAGAAGAAAAAGAAGAUAGGAAAGUUGAUGGGGUGGAAGAAGUAAAAGAUGAUGUGGUGGAAGAAGAAAAAGAGGAUGAGAAAGUUGAUGAGGUGGAAGAAGUAAAAGAUGAUGUGGUGGAAGAAGAAAAAGAGGAUGAGAAAGUUGAUGAGGUGGAAGAAGUAGAAGAUGAUGCGGCGGAAGAAGAAAAAGAGGAUGAAAAAGUUGAUGAGGUGGAAGAAGUAAAAGAUGAAAGGGUGGAAGAAGUAAAGGAGGUUACGAAAGAUGGUGAGGUGGGAGAAGGAAAGGAGGCUACAAACGAUGGUGUGGUGGAAGAAAUAAAAGAGGAUAAAGAAAUUGAUGGUACUGAGGAAGUAAAGGUGGAAAAGAAAGAUAAUGGAGGCGAAGAUGUUAAGGAGGAUAUGGAAGUUGAUAGUGUAAAAGAAGUAGUGGAGGCUAAGAAAGAUGAUGAUGACAUUCAAGAAAUAGAAGAGGAUGACAAAAAUGUUACCGAAUCUGAGAAUGAGAAAAUGGAUGUCGAUACCGAGGUUAAGGAAACUACAGAAGGUAAAGAAGAAAUGGAAAAAAUUGAAUCUGUAAAAGAAGAAGCAGAUUUGAUGGAAACAGAGGGUAGCGUUGAGGAAAAGGAAGAGGGCGAUGAAGAGGAGAAAAAUGAAGCAGAGAUAGAGGAGAAGGAAGAGGAUGAUGAAAAGGAGGAAUCUGAAGCAGAGACAGUGGAAAAGGAAGAGGGUGAUGUAAAGGAGAAAACUGAAGCAGAGACAGAAGAGGAGGGGGAGGAGGAGGAUGACAAGGAUAGUAUUGAUAAAUCAAAAGAAGAAGAUAAGGCAGAGGGUAGUAAAGGUGAGAAAGGAUCAAGAAAGCGUGCGAGAGGGAAGAUUAACGAGGAGAAAGUGAAGGAGAAAAUAAAGGAACUGAAACAGCUAGAGCCUAAGACUCCUACUAGUGAUCGUCCAGUUCGAGAAAGAAAAUCAGUUGAGAGGUUGGUAGCAUUAAUCGAUAAAGACACGAGCAAAGUAUUUCACAUCGAGAAGGUAUUUGUUGUUCAUUGUCACAUUUGAAGUAAUUAGCCUUAACUAAGCAUUUUUUAUUUUAACUUAAUUUGUUUACAGUUUCCCUUUCAAAUUGCAGGGUCGUGGCACACCUUUAAAAGAUAUACCCAAUGGUAUGGUGCUUCUCUUUGAUUUUUUAUUUUGUUUUAUUAGUAAUGGUUUUUUACUUCACUUAUAUAUAUACAUAUAUAUUUUGAGGGUGUGUUUGUUGCACACUAACACACCCUCAGAUGUUAUAGUAUUUCUUAAUUUUAAAUUCUACACAUGCCUUCUUCUUUUUCCUUCUAUGCAUCUCAUGCCUCCACUACGAGAUUGAGUAUGGUGGUACUUGGCUGCCGUCAUGCACCGUUUCUGUCUUGGUGGUGGUAUAAGCAAAAGGGUGCAAGAUUGUAUUCGGAUGAGACAGUGUUAUACCUGACCAAAGCUGUGGCAUAUACCCCAUAAUCAUAAUCACAAAGUUCACUAAUAGCGUGACAAUUAAAAUAUUUGAAUGUACCACAAACCGAAAUAACAUACCGACGAUGUAUAGCCUCACACACCCAAUACUUCAGUGUUGUAUUGCAUACCCUUACCAAAUACCAAACGAGCCAAGGAUUAUUAUGCUUAAAUAUCUAAAGCUGUUCCAUGACCUUUCAAUUAUUUUUGAGCCAAGGAUAUAUGCUUAUAUACAUUUUUUUAACACUAUCAGAUUGCCACAAGCUUAUGAUUUUGAUUUACAACUUAAACAUUUACAUUGAUUAUGAUAUUGACUAGUACAUUAGCUUGCAUUGAUUUGAUUUGAUUUGAUUUGAUUGUCUUGUUAAUUAACUGUAGUUUUCCUUCAGUAAAAUGCUUUAUGCAUGCCUUCUUUUUCUCAUUAAAAGAAAAUUUAAUAUGUGGAUCUUCCCUUUCACUCACUGUACAUUUAAAGAUAUUAAUAAUAGUGGUAAAACAUGGAGAUAUUCGAUCCUCUUCCUUCCAUUUUUGGAAAAAGAGUUUCUUAUUAUUUAUUAGUUCAAUAUGGUUUAUCCAUGCUAUUUAAUGUCCUUUUACAGAUUUAUGUGACCAUUGGAAGAUCAAUUGUAAAUCUGAUCUUUGGAAUCCUUAGGUCUUAGAGAUAAUGGCAGAAUAUAAAUGAACUGUCAAAUUGACCUUAGUUCAGCAGUAAUAGAAGGAGUUUCCUGUUACAUAUAAUUUAAGUGAAGUUGAUCUGAUAAUAUGCGGGAGUUUUUUUUUUUGUAGUUUUUGUUCUCAUUUACAUUUGUUACACUGGAGUGGAUGUGAAACUAUGCUUCUUCAGAAUAGCUAAUAAACUUAUGACUCCUGCAUUUUUCUUCUAUAGUGGCAUCUAAGUUAUCUAGAAGGAAAAAUGAUGAUAGUCUCAAGUUGCUCCACUCAAUCCUCUUCGGGAGGAGAGGGAAGGUACACGUUUCUUCAUUAAAUAUCCGAGUCUUUUUGUUACACCUGUUUCAAACCACCUUAUUAAUUUUCUUUUUUUUCCAUAUCAUUGUGGUUCUAUAGAUUAGGGGUGUUCGUGGUUCAUGAAUUGAAUUGAACCGAACCAUAUUAAUGGUUCAAUCCAGUUUUUAAAAACCACUUUAGCAAAAAGUGGUUAAUCUGUUUAAUCAAUUCAAUUCGGUUUAAAACCAUCCAGUUUUUAAAAACCACUUUAGCAAAAAGUGGUUAAUCUGUUUAAUCAAUUCAAUUCGGUUUAAAACCAAUUCAGAACUGGUUCAUAAUUUUAAACCAGUUUAAUUUAUUUAAACCAGUUUAAAAUCAAUUUUUUAAAAAAUUAGAUUAAUUUUUUCACCAAAUUCCAAACUGGUUUUUUUAUAUAUUUAAAAAAAUGUUUCUUUUUUGUUUUUAUAAUAAAAUUGAAUUUAAAAAUUGAAUUCAAAUCUGGAUUUUUUAAAAAUUGUUUCUUUUUUGUUUUUAAAAAAAUUGAAUUCAUAUUCAUCACAACGAAUGCCACAGCCGAUAACUUUUUCUGCUAUGCACUUAUAUCAUAUCAGAACAUUUGACUUCACAUUUAAAAACACUACAUAAACUUGUGAUUACAAAAAGAAUCAAAAAUAAAAAGGUGUUAUUGUAUCAGUUAGUAUAUACUCCGUAUUAGAAAUCUUGGUACGUAUUUGGAUUCAUAAGUCUUAAUAUAGAAACAUUGAUCUUGAUAUAUUUAGAAUUUUUCAAUUAGAAUUGACAUUGAUUAUUUAAUUUUAUUUAACAUUUAAUAAUCAUUUAUUAAACUAUAUAAUAAUGGAAAUUGAUUUUGAUAUAUAUAACAUUUAAUAGAAGGUAAAAUAUAUAGAAACAGUUAUAUAUAAACAUUUAAUAGAAGGUAAAAAUUAUAGAAACAGUUAUGAAUCAUUUUGAAUCGAUUCAAAAUAGAAGGUGAAAUUGAAAUUGAUGUUGAGUUUGAAUUGAAGAAGAUGAUUUAGGAUUCAUAUUUCAUAUUUGGGGAAAACACGUAAUGUGAAAUGAAAUGUUAUGAUAAUAGUAACUGACUAAAAAUAAUUAAAGAUUAUAAUUAAAUAUUAAUCAUUUAAUAUAUGAUGUAUUAAGUUUAUUGAAUUUGAGAAAUAAUAGUAUUUAUAUUUUAGAUAAAAUUGUGGAAAGAGUUUAUAAGAGUUUAAACUGGUUUUUAAAUUCAAUUAGAUUAAUUGAAUUGGUUAAAAUAAACAAUUCAAUUUACUAACCAUUUAAAUGGUUUAAGUUUUUUAUGGUUCAAUUCAGUUCAGAUUAAGUAGUUGGAUCAGUUAACCAAAUUUUUGAACACCCCUACUAUAGAUCAGGAUUUGUAUAGUGCAGGCCUUCACUAUUGAAAAGUUUAACACUUUUAUUUAUAUGUGAUAUUUCGGUUAUGGAACUGACAAGUCAGACUCAUGUUACACCGUGUUACUCUUUUUUUAAUCCUUUGCAGGCAGUUCAGGUCAAGAGUAAUAUAUCGAGGUUUUCUGGUUUUGUAUGGCAUGGCAAUGAGGUAAUUAUUACCGCAAGAAGUACCAAAUAUAAUACUCAUAACAUGCAACUAUAUCAUAUAAAAUGAUUGAAGGGUUUUGUUGAUUUGUGUUCAUAGUAAUUUCUUUUUACGGACUUCUUUUCUUAUCUUUAAGUCCUUGUUUGCCAAUGGUUGUAAACUUCUAAUAUUGUUUCUACAGGAGAAGCAAAUGCUUAAAGUAAAAGAAAAGCUAGACAAAUGUACUAAAGAGAAGUUACUGGAAUUCUGUGAUGUGUUUGACAUAACACUUAACAAGUCAAUGAGAAAAAAAAAGGUUUGUUGGUUUAGUAGCAUUGCUAAUGUUCUUGUUGUGGAUGAAACAUUACUACGUUAAUCCCGCCACAUAUUUAUGCUUUGGUAUGUGUGUGCACAAGGGUUAUCAAGAAUCUCUGUUGCUUAUAUUCAUAAUGCACUGUAUAUAUGUUCUAGCCCUAAAAGGAAACCCUGUUGACUGAUACCAUUUAGCACGCCUUUAUUAUUGCCAAUGAAUUUCUGCCUGUGCAGGAAGAUGUUAUUACUAAGCUGAUAGACUUUUUGCUUGCCCCUCAUGCAACCACAACUGUGCUACUUGCAGAAAAAGAGGUUUACUUUCUUUCUUGUGUUUCAAUUUUUUUCUUCAAGAUGUUAUGGAAAUUUUCUUUUGCUAUGUUUCUUGUGCAACAUAUUCAUAGUUUUAUGGUUAACCCGCAUCAGUCCAGUAAGAAGCGCAAGCGUGUUGUGAAACGAGGUACAUCAAGGCCUAGGACUAGUACUUCAAGAGGUUCUUCUGCAAAGGUAAUAAUCUCACUACUUCAACUGCAGCAAAUGUGAUAUUAGCAGCAUAAAAUAAUUUGUGAGUGCCUCUUAUGCUUGUUUCGCUCCCUGCAUUGCUUGAAACUGACUAGUUGUUUUCUCCUAUGAUUGGUUAAAUUUUAUUUUGUUUAGUAAUAAUUGUAUAAUUAAUUUGUAAAUAUAUAUAGUUGUUAAUAUUAUUGUUUAUAUUUUGUGGUGUUGAGAGGAAAGUGAGUUUAAAUUCUAUUGUAGUUUUCAUUUCAUAUCUAUGACACCAUUUUCUAAUUUUAAUAAUACUUAUUUAACCAACUUAUAGCCUUUUUCACAAAUAGUCAAUGAAAACUAUGUUCUCAGUCUCUAUGUUGUCAGUAGUGGCCACAGUUGCACCAUAGUAUUGUGUUGCAGAGGAUCUGCACUAUGGAAAUGACCAUUGCAUGGUGUUUUAGGGUUGCAUUUACAGCAGUCCAAAUUGCGGCCAAAACACGGUAAUUCCGGCCAAAACUACGGCGAUUACAUAGCAAAAACUUAAAAAGAAUAGUAAAAGAAUAUUGAAUAAGAAUUAAUUCAUAUUAAAUGAUUAGAAAUUUCCAUAUUUCCAAUACACUACUAAAUAAAAAAGCAACAGGUCCAAAAACAACUUUUGGCGCUGCUAAACCUAUUUUCAGAGUCGGAUCAAAUUCUGGCCAUAACGGCCGAUUUGUAUAAUGUGGAACCGGGUUGAAAAUGGGUCGAAAGUUUAAACAGAUCGGAUUUUAGCCACAUCGGAACGAAACAGAUAACUGAUUUCGCGUGUUUACGAUCUUCAUCGGCGCGCCGACUUCUCUUUUAUCUGCAGUGAUCUUUGCACCGAUCUAACUCAGUGGCCUGUUGAGGGAGCACAAAAUCGUAUGGUCUAAGGAGUUAAUGCGCACUCCUGAUCUAAGGAGAUAAUAUGCGCCCCCCUGACAACUAUGCUCCUGGUCAUGGUUCAAGCGGCUGAACCGGGUUUGUACUAGAUGGUAA
RNAcentral lists this long non-coding RNA (6189 nucleotides) under Lathyrus oleraceus (garden pea). RNAcentral's name for it is "Pisum sativum (pea) long non-coding RNA (PSAT_LNC020082)". Lineage: Eukaryota; Viridiplantae; Streptophyta; Magnoliopsida; Fabales; Fabaceae. The record is from RNAcentral.